UACUACUUGGGCAAUCUGCCCUCAAGAGGGAGACAACCUGCCGAAAGGCGGGCUAAUAUCCCGUAAGACCACAGGAUGACAUCAUCCAGAGGUUAAAGCUCCGCAAGGGGCGCUAGAGGAGGAGCCCGAGGCCUAUCAUGGUAGUUGGUGGGGUAACGGCCCACCAAGCCUUUGACGGGUAGCCGGCCUGAAAGGGUGAUCGGCCACACUGGCACUGAGACACGGGCCAG
This 230-nucleotide ribosomal RNA is filed under the name uncultured bacterium. RNAcentral's name for it is "partial 16S ribosomal RNA". It matches the Rfam family "Bacterial small subunit ribosomal RNA", at positions 111 to 334 of the family's 1533-position model. The record is from RNAcentral.